AUAGCAUAUGCUUUAUUUUUAUUGAGUAUUCUCUUAGUUAUAGGGUUUGUAGGUUUUUCUUCAAAACCUCCUAUUUAUGGAGGCUUGAGUUUAAUUAUUAGUGGUGCUGUGGGUUGUGGUAUUGUGUUGAAUUUUUGUGGGGCUUUCAUGGGAUUAAUAGUCUUUUUGAUUUAUUUGGGUGGUAUAAUGGUUGUUUUUGGUUAUACUGCGGUAAUAGCUAUUGAGGAAUACCCGGAAACAUGGGGAUCAAGUAUUGACAUUUCAGGGGAUUUAUGAUUAGGAUUAUUAAUGGAGUUGAUGUUGGUUUGGUGAAUAGCUGAAUACGAUGGGGUUGUGAUCACAAUUAAUUGUAAUAGCUCAGGGAGUUGAUUAAUUUUUGAGGGGUAGGGGUAGGGGUUGUUGCAUGAGGAUCCUGUGGGUGUGGCUGCCUUGUAGAGUUAUGGAUGUUGAUUAGUGGUAGUUGCUGGUUGAUCAUUAUUUGUUAGCAUUUAUGUCGUAAUUGAAAUUUCUCGGGAUAAUAG
RNAcentral lists this long non-coding RNA (521 nucleotides) under Homo sapiens (human). RNAcentral's name for it is "non-protein coding lnc-RYR2-11:2". The record is from RNAcentral. Lineage: Eukaryota; Metazoa; Chordata; Mammalia; Primates; Hominidae.